GGCUAAGGAAAGUAAAAACUAUGUAAAGACUGCCUGACAGGGAAGUAAUCCACAUUUCCAGGAGGCCUACUGUAAUAAAGUCAAAUGCUAAAUAUAUGAAGAUUUAUGGCAUGUUAGCACAUUAUUACCACUCGUUAUAUUGCUAAGUCAGUCACGGAAAGUCAGUUCAGGGCCAGAAGGAAGUCAGUCCGUGGACACACUUAGCCUUCAGUUUGAAACUCUUGUACCUGCCAUAGUCACAGAAACCUUUGAGCGCUGGAAGGUCAGCGUCUACUGGACGUUAACCGUAGGACGUCAGCAGAUGUUGGCUGAGUAAGAACUUAGUAACAAUUUUCUGUUUAGACAACUUGUCCAAGUUUUCUGUAAUUGUCUUUAUAAUCCUACUAUUAUGAAUUUUGCCUGUUGAAGAAAUCAUUUAAUGACAUUACCGAAAUGGACGUUGUCUGGUAAGUUUUCAGAGAAUGAGAUAAAAUUCCAAAAAUGUAUUUCAGGGUGGAAUUUGAUAUGUUUGGUGUUCUCCUUCCUUCUCAGGGACACAUCUAGCUGUCUCAAGGGACAGGUGGCACCCAAGAGCCACAUAGGACAGGAAUACUCAGACUACUCAGACUGGUGCUCUAUACUUCUGAGAAUUAACUCAUCUUUCUGGGCACUGGAUACUGAACAAAAGCAAUGCCUGGCCUCAUCUGAACCCUGAAGAUGUAUUUUUCAUCCAAGAAAUUUUGGACUUCAAUAAGAGACGUGUUCUCCUGCAUAAUUACGUUGAUGGGGAAGUGAGCAUACAUAGACCUCAUCUUAUAAAGAAAGCCCCGUGUAGCACCCUUGAUCAUAUUUUGUAAUGACUACAGAAAAUGUGAACAGUAACCAAUUCCUUUCUGUUUUUCCACCAUUUGUCAGCCAGAGCCUCUUCUUUUUCUAUCCAAGAAGACUGAGUUUUAUAGUGAUGUGCUUGAAGUCCUUCUGCAGGGUUCUUUGGGAAUCUUCACAGUAACUGUGUAUCCCUUCCGAGGGAUGUCGACAUUUUCUGGAAUAGUUUAGUUGCUGAGACUGGUCUUCAUUCCCAUACCCAACGUGGCAAAGAACUCAUAUGUUUAUUUGUCAUCUCUAGGUCUUCUUUGGUUAGAUGUCUGUGAAGGUGUGAAGGUAUUUGGCUCAUUUUAAACUAGGUUGUUUAUUUUCAUAUUGUCAGGUUUUAAGAGAUCUUUGUAUAUUUUGGGUAAUAGUCCUUUAUCAGAUGUGUCUUUUACAAAGGUGUGCUCCCAGUCUCUGGGUUGUCUUCUCAUUUUCUUAACACUGCCUUCACAGUUUUGGGAGCACCUGGCUGGCUCAGUCAGUGGAGCAUGUGGUUCUUGAUCUUAGGGUUGAAACAUUGAGCCCCACAUUGGGUGUAGUGAUUACUCUAAAAAAUAAAAAUGAAAAAUUAAAAUAGUCACCCUUCUUGAUAAUAUUCAGAGAGUAGAAGUCGUUUUGUCUUCUUUUCUUUUUGGGAGAGAGAGAGAGAAGAGGGGCAAAGAGAGAGAGGGAGAGAGAGAGAGGAUCUUAAGCAGGCUCCAUGUCCAUUGUGGAGCCUGACAUAGGGGUCGAUGUAGGGCUCAGUCUCACAACCCUGAGGUCAUGACCUGAGCUGAAAUCGAGUCCAACUGCUUACUGACUGAGCCACCCAGGUGCUUCCAGAAGUUUUUAAUUUUAACAAAGUGCAGCUUAUCAAUGAUUUCUUUCACAGAUUGUGCCUUCGAUUUAUAUUUAAAAGUCAUUUCCAUGUCCAAGGUCAUCUAGAUUCUCUCCAAUAUGAUAUUCCAGUAGUUUUAUAGUUUGUGCUUUAUAUUUAGGUUUAUGAUCCAUUUCAAGUUAAUUUUUGUGAAGAUGUAAGGACUAUGUCUAGAUUAAUUCCUGGUAGUGAAUAAAUUGUUAUCUGGCUAGAUCACUUAAGAAUAAGAAAAAUGGAAGUUUUUAUUUUAUCUUCAGUAUUUCUUCUCUGAUGCUCUUCCUUUCUUUAUGUAAAUCUGAAUUUGUGGUCUGUAUUAUUCUCCUUUUUUAAAGAACUUCUUUUAACAUUUCUUGUAGGCAGGUCUAGGGUAAUACAUUCCCUUCAUUUUUGUUUGAAGAAAUCAUUAUUUCUCCUUUGGUUUUAAAUGCUAAUUUUGUAGGGUUCAGAAUUCUAGUAUGUUUGGCCUAGGCAGAUGGUCUAGCAUGAUUUCUGAGGAAAUGUCAAAUACAAUUCUUAUCUUUGUUCCUCUUUAGCUAAGAUGUCCCCCCUCUCCUGGCCCUUUUAAGGAUUUUUUUUCUUCACUUUUGAUUUUCUGUCAUUUGAAAAUGGUCUGCCUACAUGUAGGUUGUGGUUGUUAUUAUUUAUUUAUUUUUUGCAUGUAUCCUGCUUGGGGUCUCUGAGUUUCCCAGGGAAUAUGGUUUGGUAUCUGACAUGAACUUGGGAAAUUCCCAUUCAUUAUUGUUUUAAAUAUUUCUUCUAUUCCUUUCUCGAUUUUGUCUCUUUCUGGCAUUCUCAUUAUACUUAUGUUACACCUUUUAUAGCUGUCCCACAGUCCUUGGAUAGUCUCUUCUAUUUUUUCCAAUCUUUAUUCUUCGUUUCUCAGUUUUGGAAGUUUCUGGUGAUAUAUCAUCAAAUUCAGAGAUUCUUUCCUCAGCCGUGUCCAGUCUACUAAUAAGAGCCCAUUAGGGCAGCCCAGGUGGCUCAGCGGUUUAAUGCUGCCUUCAGCCCGGGGCCUGAUCCUGGAGACCUGGGAUCAAGUCCCACGUCAGGCUCCCUGCAUGGAGCCUGCUUCUCCCUCUGCCUGUGUCUCCGCCUCUCUGUCUCUCAUGAAUAAAUAAAUAAAAUAUUUUUUUUAAAAAAAAGAACCCAUCAGAGGUGUUCUUCAUUUCUUUUAUAGUGUGUGUGUAUGCGCGUGUGUGUGUUUCUCUAGCUUCUCUUUUUGAUUCUUUCUUAGGAUUUCCAUCUCUCUGCUUACAUUGCCCAUCCAUUCUUUCAUGUUGUCUGCUUAUCUGUUAGAGCCGAUCCUAGUUGUUUUAAAGUCCCAGUCGGAUAAUUCCAACAUCCCUACCACGUCUGGUUUGGCGGUUUGCCCUGUCUCUCCAAAACGUUUUUUUUUGGCUUUUACUAUGCCUUGUAAUUUUUUUCUUGAUAACUGGACAAGAUGUACCCAGUAAAAGGAUCUUCUGUAAAUAGGUCUUUAGUAAUGUGUGAGGUGUAGAGAGAGAGGGAGUGUUCCACAGUCCUAUGGUUAGGUCUCCAUCUCUUAGUGAGCAUAUGUGUCUGGAGUUUGAACUACACAAGUAUUGCUCAUGUGUUGUUUUUUCUUCACCUCCACCCCUUUAGGUGAGACAGGAUGGGCUAUCUGGAGCUGGGUAUGUCUCUUCUCCCAGGCCAGUUAGGCUCUCAUAAUACCUCAGCAGGUUAGUUUCUGGUUAAUUAGUUUCCCCUGUGGGCAGGUCUUGUUGAGAAUGGAGAGCUCUGGGGUAUUUCAAAAUGGUUCCAUUUCCUUCCUCCCUGCCGGAAGCCUAAGGGGAUUUUUCUUGGCUACUUACUGUGAGUACCUGGUCAAGUUCUUGGGAAUAAAACCCACAAAAGUUUGAGGCCGUCUCCAAAACUGGGUUCCCCUGUAGAUUUUAACUCUCAUACUUGCCCACGUUGAGCCUUUUAUACUUCACUAAUUACAGGUCAGGUUUUCCUACCCUGGCGCUGGGUCCCAUGGCGGUGUCUGCUCAAGAGUCUCUGCUCAGGUAAGCUGUGACUUCCUGUAUUUGCCCAUCUCUCCAAUAUUAGGGACAGUGGUUUGCCUUGUCCCCCCUCUAUUAUAUAUUCAGGAAGCAUUGUUUAUUUUUCAGUUUGUUCAGCUUUUUACUUGUUGGGACAGAAUUGUGAUUUCCAAGCUCCUUACGUACAGAACUGGAGACUGUGCUCCUGGGUUUCUUGCCCUGGCUGGAGAAAUUUGUGAGUCUCCAGGCUCCCUGGGGCCCAGGUGAGAUAGUAUGUGGUAUAUGUGGCCUUCCCCCUGACCAGCCAGACCUAGGG
Molecule: long non-coding RNA, 4024 nt
Filed under: Canis lupus familiaris (dog)
Lineage: Eukaryota; Metazoa; Chordata; Mammalia; Carnivora; Canidae
Description: lncRNA (ENSCAFG00845001807.1)
Source: RNAcentral